RNAcentral lists this ribosomal RNA (780 nucleotides) under uncultured bacterium. RNAcentral's name for it is "bacterial SSU rRNA". It matches the Rfam family "Bacterial small subunit ribosomal RNA", at positions 60 to 834 of the family's 1533-position model. The record is from RNAcentral.
AGUCGAGCGGGCGAGGUUGCUUCGGUAACUGAGCUAGCGGCGGACGGGUGAGUAAUGCUUAGGAAUCUGCCUAUUAGUGGGGGACAACAUUCCGAAAGGAAUGCUAAUACCGCAUACGCCCUACGGGGGAAAGCAGGGGAUCUUCGGACCUUGCGCUAAUAGAUGAGCCUAAGUCAGAUUAGCUAGUUGGUGGGGUAAAGGCCUACCAAGGCGACGAUCUGUAGCGGGUCUGAGAGGAUGAUCCGCCACACUGGGACUGAGACACGGCCCAGACUCCUACGGGAGGCAGCAGUGGGGAAUAUUGGACAAUGGGCGCAAGCCUGAUCCAGCCAUGCCGCGUGUGUGAAGAAGGCCUUUUGGUUGUAAAGCACUUUAAGCGAGGAGGAGGCUACUUGGAUUAAUACUCUAGGAUAGUGGACGUUACUCGCAGAAUAAGCACCGGCUAACUCUGUGCCAGCAGCCGCGGUAAUACAGAGGGUGCGAGCGUUAAUCGGAUUUACUGGGCGUAAAGCGUGCGUAGGCGGCUUCUUAAGUCGGAUGUGAAAUCCCUGAGCUUAACUUAGGAAUUGCAUUCGAUACUGGGAGGCUAGAGUAUGGGAGAGGAUGGUAGAAUUCCAGGUGUAGCGGUGAAAUGCGUAGAGAUCUGGAGGAAUACCGAUGGCGAAGGCAGCCAUCUGGCCUAAUACUGACGCUGAGGUACGAAAGCAUGGGGAGCAAACAGGAUUAGAUACCCUGGUAGUCCAUGCCGUAAACGAUGUCUACUAGCCGUUGGGGCCUUUG